Pectinophora gossypiella (pink bollworm) is the source of this 865-nucleotide long non-coding RNA. RefSeq lists it as uncharacterized. The record is from RefSeq and is a predicted model, not a curated record. NCBI's taxonomy places the organism in Eukaryota, Metazoa, Arthropoda, Insecta, Lepidoptera, Gelechiidae. The transcript has 6 exons.
UUUUAACAGGAAAUGCACAAUGCUAAAAACUGCGUAGGAGAUUUUAAUACAAUAGUACUACCAAGCCUGAUGUUGGCCGCUAUUUCAAUGAAUGCAGCAGUGUGACAGCUAGCAAUCAAAAGUAACAAGAUAUCGAGGAAAUGCAGAUGGCAAUAAACUGUGUAGGAGUUCAUGAUUGCAAUAGAAUAAAAUCGACCAAGCUUGAAGUCAGCAGCCCCUUCAAUGAAUGCAGCAGUGUGACAGCCAGCAAUCAAAAGUUACAAGAUAUCGAGGAAAUGCAGAAGGCAAAAAACUGCGUAGGAGAUCAUUAAUACAAAAGUAUUAUAUAAACCAAACCUGAUGUUGCCAGCUCCUUCAAUGAAUGCAGCAGUGUGACAGCCAACAAUCAAAAGUAACAAGAUAUCGAGGAAAUGCAGAAGGCAAAAAACUGCGUAGGAGAUCAUUAAACAAUAGUAUUAUAUAAACCAAACCUGAUGUUGGCCGCUCAUUCAAAGAAUGCAGCAGUGUGACAGCCAGCAAUCAAAAGUAACAAGAUGUCGAGGAAAUGCAGAGUAUAAUAAACUGUGUAGGAGAUUAUGAUUGCAAUAGAAUAAAAUCGACCAAGCCUGAAGUCCUUCAAUGCACGCAGCAGUGUGACAGCCAGCAAUCAAAAGUUACAAGAUAUCGAGGAAAUACAGAAGGCAAAGAAGCAGAUGUCAUCAAAGAAGAUCUUUGUUCCUGCAAUGUUUCCGCAGACGAUACAACCAACAGAGCGAAGUGGAAGGAAAAGACUCGGAAUAAAGACCCCACCACCAUAUGGGAACAAUGCAAGGGAGAGAGAGAGAAUAUAAUGUUAUAUUUUUAUUUUUUGAUAACAUAAAAUAAA